Molecule: ribosomal RNA, 242 nt
Filed under: uncultured bacterium
Lineage: Bacteria
Description: partial 16S ribosomal RNA
Rfam family: Bacterial small subunit ribosomal RNA
Source: RNAcentral
GAUCAUGGCUCAGGACAAACGCUGGCGGCGUGCUUAACACAUGCAAGUCGAACGGAGUACCCGAGACAGAAGCUUCGGCAGACGUUUUGGAAUACUUAGUGGCGGACGGGUGAGUAACACGUGAGUAACCUGCCCCUGAGUGGGGGAUAACACACCGAAAGGUGUGCUAAUACCGCAUAAUAUACCUUUGCCGCAUGACAGAGGUAUCAAAGAUUUAUUGCUCAGGGAUGGGCUCGCGUCCG